This 376-nucleotide ribosomal RNA is filed under the name uncultured bacterium. RNAcentral describes it as "bacterial SSU rRNA". It matches the Rfam family "Bacterial small subunit ribosomal RNA", at positions 29 to 418 of the family's 1533-position model. The record is from RNAcentral.
ACGAACGCUGGCGGCGCGCCUAAUACAUGCAAGUCGAACGGCCAUCCUUCGGGAUGGCAGUGGCGGACGGGUGAGUAACACGUGGGUGACCUGCCCUGUAGUGGGGAAUAACUCUUGGAAACAGGAGCUAAUACCGCAUAUGCUCCAAGUUUCAUUAUUUGGAGUAAAGAUUAAUCGCUACAGGAGGGGCCUGCGGCGGAUUAGCUAGUCGGUGGGGUAAUGGCCUACCGAGGCAACGAUCCGUAGCUGGUCUGAGAGGACGACCAGCCACACUGGGACUGAGACACGGCCCAGACUCCUACGGGAGGCAGCAGUAAGGAUAUCCACAAUGGACGCAAGUCUGAUGGAGCGACGCCGCGUGAGCGAAGAAGCCCUU